RNAcentral lists this transfer RNA (72 nucleotides) under Camelus bactrianus (Bactrian camel). It matches the Rfam family "tRNA". Rfam says of the family: Transfer RNA (tRNA) molecules are approximately 80 nucleotides in length. Lineage: Eukaryota; Metazoa; Chordata; Mammalia; Artiodactyla; Camelidae. The record is from Rfam by way of RNAcentral. RNAcentral also lists the same sequence under 3 other names.
AGGGUAAUAGCUCAGUGGUAGAGCACAUGCUUUGCAUGCACCAGGUCCUGGGUUCAAUCCCCACUACCUCCA